AUUGAACGCUGGCGGCAUGCCUUACACAUGCAAGUCGAACGGCAGCAUGGAGAGCUUGCUCUCUGAUGGCGAGUGGCGAACGGGUGAGUAAAGCAUCGGAACGUACCGUGUAAUGGGGGAUAACGUAGCGAAAGUUACGCUAAUACCGCAUACGACCUGAGGGUGAAAGCAGGGGAUCGCAAGACCUUGCGUUAUACGAGCGGCCGAUGUCAGAUUAGCUAGUUGGUAGGGUAAAGGCCUACCAAGGCGACGAUCUGUAGCGGGCCUGAGAGGAUGAUCCGCCACACUGGGACUGAGACACGGCCCAGACUCCUACGGGAGGCAGCAGUGGGGGAUUUUGGACAAUGGGGGCAACCCUGAUCCAGCCAUGCCGCGUGAGUGAAGAAGGCCUUCGGGCUGUAAAGCUCUUUCGGCCGGGAAGAAAUCGCACAGGCUAAUACUCUGUGUGGAUGACGGUACCGGCAUAAGAAGCACCGGCUAACUACGUGCCAGCAGCCGCCGUAA
This 504-nucleotide ribosomal RNA is filed under the name uncultured bacterium. RNAcentral describes it as "partial 16S ribosomal RNA". It matches the Rfam family "Bacterial small subunit ribosomal RNA", at positions 30 to 523 of the family's 1533-position model. The record is from RNAcentral.